This 233-nucleotide long non-coding RNA is filed under the name Rattus norvegicus (Norway rat). RNAcentral describes it as "long non-coding RNA NONRATT033693". The record is from RNAcentral. Lineage: Eukaryota; Metazoa; Chordata; Mammalia; Rodentia; Muridae.
UGGCUAAUACCACCUUGUAUCUUCCAAAUCUAGAUUCUGAGCAGUUAUUCUUAGCACAGUAUCCUCUGGAUCCACAUUCACCAGGAUCUCUUCACAAUGACAGUGGAAAAUGGACAGUCAGAUGAGAAUAACAGUUUCCCUCUGCUAGUGAAUCCCUCUCUUUAUGCCUGGACUUCGGUAAGUACUGAGCUUUUUGUAUCAUUAUAGCAUUAGUUUUUUUUCUAGAUUUCAUA